Molecule: non-coding RNA, 86 nt
Filed under: Pseudomonas psychrophila
Lineage: Bacteria; Pseudomonadati; Pseudomonadota; Gammaproteobacteria; Pseudomonadales; Pseudomonadaceae
Also listed under: 1 other name
Source: RNAcentral
CUCUAUGGCAGCUGUGCGCGGGAGACCUUCGGGUCUGCCGGGUGUCUCGUUGCCGGUUCGCCAACCCGCGUGCAGCUGCCACCUAU